Molecule: transfer RNA, 67 nt
Filed under: Vulpes chama (Cape fox)
Lineage: Eukaryota; Metazoa; Chordata; Mammalia; Carnivora; Canidae
Description: tRNA-Trp
Source: RNAcentral
AGAGGUUUAGGUUAAAAAGACCAAGAGCCUUCAAAGCUCUAAGCAAGUGCCAUACACUUAACCCCUG